CGGCGCGUAGCUCAUAGCGGGCAGAGCGCUCGACCGAUAAUCGAGAGGUAGGAGGUUCGAUCCCUUCCGCGCCGA
RNAcentral lists this transfer RNA (75 nucleotides) under Acidobacteriota bacterium. RNAcentral describes it as "tRNA-Ile". It matches the Rfam family "tRNA". From Rfam's summary of the family: Transfer RNA (tRNA) molecules are approximately 80 nucleotides in length. Their secondary structure includes four short double-helical elements and three loops (D, anti-codon, and T loops). The record is from RNAcentral. Lineage: Bacteria; Pseudomonadati; Acidobacteriota.